Molecule: long non-coding RNA, 318 nt
Filed under: Vigna radiata
Lineage: Eukaryota; Viridiplantae; Streptophyta; Magnoliopsida; Fabales; Fabaceae
Description: long non-coding RNA (VRAD_LNC012275)
Source: RNAcentral
GCGCGGAGGGAGUGUUCUCGGAGUGUUUGGAGUGUGGAUAAAUUAGAGAUGCGUGGUGUUGAUGUGCUUUAGACACUACCAAGAGUAGAGUGAUCGAAGCUUUAGACACGAAGACUGGAGUGUUGAGAGGUUUAGACACUAAGAUCAAGAGAGAGGAACGAGACGAGGGAAAAGUUGAAAUGAAAUUAGGGAAAUUUGAAAAAUUAGAAAAUAAGAGAUAUUAUAAUUGAUUUCUAAACCUCCGUUAUAAUAGGUUAUCAACAUAUUUACGAGUUUGCUACUGCGUUUUAUUAUUAUAACUGAUUUAUAAAAAAAUAC